Molecule: small nucleolar RNA, 133 nt
Organism: Artibeus jamaicensis (Jamaican fruit-eating bat)
Lineage: Eukaryota; Metazoa; Chordata; Mammalia; Chiroptera; Phyllostomidae
Product: small nucleolar RNA SNORA42/SNORA80 family
Exons: 1
Source: RefSeq, a predicted model, not a curated record
GCAUGGGCUUGGAUUUCUGGCAGGCCCGCCCCCCCGGGGUCUCUCAUAGUGCCCCACGCCAAAGCAUCCUGGCCUGGAACCAUGGCCCGGCCUCUGCCCCUGGGCUGCAGGCACUGAAGCAGACUGCACAGUG